UACGACCAUAUCACGUUGAAACACCGGUUCUCGUAUGGUUCAAAAAGUUAAGCAACGUCGACGCUGGUCAGUACCUAAAUGGGUGACCGUUUGGGAAUACCAGGUGCUGUAAG
Non-coding RNA from Acanthosepion pharaonis, 113 nucleotides. NCBI's taxonomy places the organism in Eukaryota, Metazoa, Mollusca, Cephalopoda, Sepiida, Sepiidae. The record is from the annotation of a GenBank genome assembly.